UGGGGAAUAUUGGACAAUGGGGGGAACCCUGAUCCAGCAAUGCCGCGUGUGUGAAGAAGGCCUGAGGGUUGUAAAGCACUUUUAGUGUAGAGGAAGGUUAUUUUGUUAAGAGCUGAAUGAUUUGACGGUAUACACAGAAACAGCACCGGCUAACUCCGUGCCAGCAGCCGCGGUAAUACGGAGGGUGCGAGCGUUAAUCGGAAUUACUGGGCGUAAAGGGUGCGUAGGUUGUUUGAUAAGUUAGUUGAGAAAUACCUGGGCUUAACCUAGGUGCUAUGAUUAAGACUGUUAAACUAGAGUAUGAGAGAGGGUAGUGGAAUUUCCGGUGUAGCGGUGAAAUGCGUAGAGAUCGGAAGGAACACCAGUGGCGAAGGCGGCUACCUGGCUUAAUACUGACACUGAGGCACGAAAGCGUGGGUAGCAAACAGG
This 429-nucleotide ribosomal RNA is filed under the name uncultured bacterium. RNAcentral's name for it is "bacterial SSU rRNA". It matches the Rfam family "Bacterial small subunit ribosomal RNA", at positions 355 to 776 of the family's 1533-position model. The record is from RNAcentral.